AAUAUGUGGCAUACGGCUCAGUAACACGUAGUCAACAUGCCCAGGGGACGUGGAUAACCUCGGGAAACUGAGGAUAAACCGCGAUAAGUCACUACUUCUGGAAUGGGUAAUGACUUAAAUCUAUAUGGCCCCUGGAUUGGACUGCGGCCGAUCAGGCUGUUGGUGAGGUAAUGGCCCACCAAACCUGUAACCGGUACGGGCUCUGAGAGGAGGAGCCCGGAGAUGGGCACUGAGACAAGGGCCCAGGCCCUAUGGGGCGCAGCAGGCGCGAAACCUCUGCAAUAGGCGAAAGCCUGACAGGGUUACUCUGAGUGAUUUCCGUUAAGGAGAUCUUUUGGCACCUCUAAAAAUGGUGCAGAAUAAGGGGUGGGCAAGUCUGGUGUCAGCCGCCGCGGUAAUACCAGCACCCCGAGUGGUCGGGACGUUUAUUGGGCCUAAAGCAUCCGUAGCCGGUUCUACAAGUCUUCCGUUAAAUCCACCUGCUUAACAGAUGGGCUGCGGAAGAUACUAUAGAGCUAGGAGGCGGGAGAGGCAAGCGGUACUCGAUGGGUAGGGGUAAAAUCCGUUGAUCCAUUGAAGACCACCAGUGGCGAAGGCGGCUUGCCAGAACGCGCUCGACGGUGAGGGAUGAAAGCUGGGGGA
This 642-nucleotide ribosomal RNA is filed under the name uncultured Nitrososphaerota archaeon. Its description in RNAcentral is "bacterial SSU rRNA". It matches the Rfam family "Archaeal small subunit ribosomal RNA", at positions 73 to 718 of the family's 1478-position model. The record is from RNAcentral. Lineage: Archaea; Thermoproteati; Nitrososphaerota.